RNAcentral lists this ribosomal RNA (519 nucleotides) under Geomyces sp. HDN13-432. RNAcentral's name for it is "eukaryotic LSU rRNA". The stretch from base 155 to 308 matches the Rfam family "5.8S ribosomal RNA". The record is from RNAcentral. Lineage: Eukaryota; Fungi; Ascomycota; Leotiomycetes; Thelebolales; Pseudeurotiaceae.
CCGCAGGCCUCCCGGGUAACCUACCACCCUUUGUUUAUUACACUUUGUUGCUUUGGCAAGCCUGCCCUCGGGCUGCUGGCUCCGGCCGGCGAGCGCUUGCCAGAGGACCUAAACUCUGUUUGUCUAUACUGUCUGAGUACUAUAUAAUAGUUAAAACUUUCAACAACGGAUCUCUUGGUUCUGGCAUCGAUGAAGAACGCAGCGAAAUGCGAUAAGUAAUGUGAAUUGCAGAAUUCAGUGAAUCAUCGAAUCUUUGAACGCACAUUGCGCCCCCUGGUAUUCCGGGGGGCAUGCCUGUCCGAGCGUCAUUACAACCCUCAAGCUCAGCUUGGUGUUGGGCCCCGCCGCCCCGGCGGGCCCUAAAGUCAGUGGCGGUGCCGUCCGGCUCCGAGCGUAGUAAUUCUUCUCGCUCUGGAGGUCCGGUCGUGUGCUCGCCAGCAACCCCCAAUUUUUUUCAGGUUGACCUCGGAUCAGGUAGGGAUACCCGCUGAACUUAAGCAUAUCAAUAAGGCGGAGGAA